AAGAAGGCGCAGCAGCGCCUCUUCAACCUCAGGAGGCUGAAGAAAUUCGGCUUGUCACCAAAAGCACUCACAAACUUCUACAGAUGCACAAUCGAGAGCAUCCUGGCGGGCUGUAUCACCACCUGGUACGGCAACUGCUCCGCCCUCAACCGUAAGGCUCUCCAGAGGGUAGUGAGGUCUGCACAACGCAUCACCGGGGGCAAACUACCUGCCCUCCAGGACACCUACACCACCCGAUGUUACAGGAAGGCCAUAAGGAUCAUCAAGGACAACAACCACCCGAGCCACUGCCUGUUCACCCCGCUACCAUCCAGAAGGCGAGGUCAGUACAGGUGCAUCAAAGCUGGGACCGAGAGAGACAGGUUCUAGCUCAAGGCCAUCAGACUGUUAAAACAGCCACCACUAACAUUGAGUGGGAGGAAAUGUCCUUUCAUUCCAAUCCUGGUUAGAGAAGGACAGAGCCUUCAGCAUUCAGCUCUUAUCACCAGGAAGCUCCAUCUGCCCUUUCACUACUGAGACACUGAACCCUACAGGAGGCAGGGACACUUUAUGGACAGGGUGCGUCCCAAACACCAGCCUAUUCCCUAUAUAGUGCACUGUGAAGGCAGUAGUGUGACAUGUGGGAUGCAGGUUCCACAUGAAAAGUCAACACAGGUCUGAAGUCCAGCCUCUCCAAUUCUCACCUCCAUUAAAAGCUUCUUCUAUGUAAAAUGCCAGACCACCUGGGAGGAGGCUAUAAUGACAGGUUACCACAGAGUCUCAUUCACUAACAGGUUACCACAGAGUCUCAUUCACUAACAGGUUACCACAGAGUCUCAUUCACUAACAGGUUACCACAGAGUCUCAUUCACUAACAGGUUACCACAGAGUCUCAUUCACUAACAGGUUACCACAGAGUCUCAUUGACUAACAGGUUACCACAGAGUCUCAUUCACUAACAGGUUACCACAGAGUCUCAUUGACUAACAGGUUACCACAGAGUCUCAUUGACUAACAGGUUACCACAGAGUCUCAUUGACUAACAGGUUACCACAGAGUCUCAUUGACUAACAGGUUACCACAGAGUCUCAUUCACUAACAGGUUACCACAGAGUCUCAUUCACUAACAGGUUACCACAGAGUCUCAUUGACUAACAGGUUACCACAGAGUCUCAUUCACUAACAGGUUACCACAGAGUCUCAUUCACUAACAGGUUACCACAGAGUCUCAUUCACUAACAGGUUACCACAGAGUCUCAUUCACUAACAGGUUACCACAGAGUCUCAUUGACGAACAGGUUACCACAGAGUCUCAUUGACGAACAGGUUACCACAGUAUUGUAUCACAUAGCUUUUCUAUUUAGGGUCAAGAUUUUUUAAUAUAUUUUUUUAGCUUUACUUAACAAGGCAAGUCAGUUAAGAACAAAUUAUUAUUUUCAACGAUGGCCUUGGAACAGUAGGUUCACUGCCUUGUUUAGAGGAACAGUGGGUUUACUGCCUUGUUCAGAGGAACAGUAGGUUAACUGCCUUGUUCAGGGGAACAGUGGGUUAACUGCCUUGUUCAGGGGAACAGUGGGUUAACUGCCUUGUUCAGAGGAACAGUGGGUUAACUGCCUUGUUCAGGGGAACAGUGGGUUAACUGCCUUGUUCAGGGGAACAGUGGGUUAACUGCCUU
Oncorhynchus keta (chum salmon) is the source of this 1654-nucleotide long non-coding RNA. RefSeq lists it as uncharacterized. NCBI's taxonomy places the organism in Eukaryota, Metazoa, Chordata, Actinopteri, Salmoniformes, Salmonidae. The record is from RefSeq and is a predicted model, not a curated record. The transcript is spliced from 3 exons.